Molecule: long non-coding RNA, 314 nt
Organism: Juglans microcarpa x Juglans regia
Lineage: Eukaryota; Viridiplantae; Streptophyta; Magnoliopsida; Fagales; Juglandaceae
Exons: 2
Source: RefSeq, a predicted model, not a curated record
GUGACAAUUUAUAGUCGACUUGACAUUUUUGAGGAAAUUUUUUGGAAAAGUUAAGUCGUCCAGAUGAUUUGAAUGUUUCAGUUGAGGAUCCAGGAUAUGGAGCAUGGGUGAGAAGAGUUAGAAUGAUGGUUUAAGCAUAGAAGAUUUAUAUGGGUAUUGAAAGUUUUCAUCCAGUAAGCUUGUUGGGUUCUGAUGUUGUGAUUUGUUGGGAGAUUGAUGUUUAUAUUAAGACUUUGUAUUGUCUUAGAAUAGUUAUUCUGGAGUAAGUGAUGUAAAUAUAUGAGUAUUUUGUGCGAUAGAGAAAAAUUAGAGUA